Molecule: ribosomal RNA, 490 nt
Filed under: uncultured bacterium
Lineage: Bacteria
Description: partial 16S ribosomal RNA
Rfam family: Bacterial small subunit ribosomal RNA
Source: RNAcentral
AUUGAACGCUGGCGGCAGGCCUAACACAUGCAAGUCGAACGGUAACAGGAAGCAGCUUGCUGCUUUGCUGACGAGUGGCGGACGGGUGAGUAAUGUCUGGGAAACUGCCUGAUGGAGGGGGAUAACUACUGGAAACGGUAGCUAAUACCGCAUAACGUCGCAAGACCAAAGAGGGGGACCUUCGGGCCUCUUGCCAUCGGAUGCGCCCAGAUGGGAUUAGCUAGUAGGUGGGGUAACGGCUCACCUAGGCGACGAUCCCUAGCUGAUCUGAGAGGAUGACAGGCCACACUGGAACUGAGACAGGGUCCAGACUCCUACGGGAGGCAGCAGUGGGGAAUAUUGCACAAUGGGCGCAAGCCUGAUGCAGCCAUGCCGCGUGUAUGAAGAAGGCCUUCGGGUUGUAAAGUACUUUCAGCGGGGAGGAAGGGAGUAAAGUUAAUACCUUGGCUCAUUGACGUUACCCGCAGAAGAAGCACCGGCUAACUCCGUG